Molecule: small nuclear RNA, 107 nt
Organism: Sciurus carolinensis (gray squirrel)
Lineage: Eukaryota; Metazoa; Chordata; Mammalia; Rodentia; Sciuridae
Source: RefSeq, a predicted model, not a curated record
GUACUCUCUUCAGCAGUACAUGUACUAAUAUUGGAACAAUACAGAGAAGAUUAGCAUGGCCCCUGUGCAAGGGUGACACGCAAAUUUGUUAAAUGUUCUGUAUUAAA